AUUGAACGCUGGCGGCAGGCCUAACACAUGCAAGUCGAGCGGAGCGGCGGACGGGUGAGUAAUACCUAGGAAUCUGCCUGGUAGUUGGGGAUAAAGUUCGGAAACGGACGCUAAUCCCGCAUACUAUCAAAUGAGCCUAGGUCGGAUUAGCUAGUUGGUGAGUGAAUGGCUCACCAAGGAUACGAUCCGUAACUGGUCUGUGAGGAUGAGCAGUCACACUGGAACGGAGACACGGUCCAGACUCCUACGGGAGGCAGCAGUGGGGAAGAUUGGACAAUGGGCGCAAGCCUGAUCCAGCCAUGCCGCGUGUGUGAAGAAGGCCUUCGGAUUGUAAAGCACUUUAAGUUGGGAGGCGUUACCGACAGAAUAAGCACCGGCUAACUCCGUGCCAGCAGCCGCGGUAAUAC
This 407-nucleotide ribosomal RNA is filed under the name uncultured bacterium. RNAcentral's name for it is "partial 16S ribosomal RNA". It matches the Rfam family "Bacterial small subunit ribosomal RNA", at positions 30 to 526 of the family's 1533-position model. The record is from RNAcentral.